AUUCCAGUAAAUAAAGGUAUGGUACCAGCAGUUCCAGUUAAUAAGAAGAAAAGAGCUAGAGCCGGAGAAGCCUUUUAAAAGCCUCGAUCAUAAUUCGAAAUAACAUAAGUGAAGAUCCUUUCGUUCUACCCAACGGUCACCGAAAGAAAUUAAUCCCUUGAUUGACGAAAAGGGCAAGGAAGAGGACAAGUGGAACGUCUAUUGCUCCACUUUGUUAGUCUA
RNAcentral lists this unclassified non-coding RNA (222 nucleotides) under Hevea brasiliensis (rubber tree). The record is from RNAcentral. Lineage: Eukaryota; Viridiplantae; Streptophyta; Magnoliopsida; Malpighiales; Euphorbiaceae.